This 482-nucleotide ribosomal RNA is filed under the name uncultured bacterium. RNAcentral's name for it is "partial 16S ribosomal RNA". It matches the Rfam family "Bacterial small subunit ribosomal RNA", at positions 30 to 507 of the family's 1533-position model. The record is from RNAcentral.
AUUGAACGCUGGCGGCAUGCUUUACACAUGCAAGUCGAACGGUAACAGCACUUCGGUGGCUGACGAGUGGCGAACGGGUGAGUAAUACAUCGGAACGUGCCUAGUAGUGGGGGAUAACUACUCGAAAGAGUAGCUAAUACCGCAUGAGAUCUAAGGAUGAAAGCAGGGGACCUUCGGGCCUUGCGCUACUAGAGCGGCUGAUGGCAGAUUAGGUAGUUGGUGGGAUAAAAGCUUACCAAGCCGACGAUCUGUAGCUGGUCUGAGAGGACGACCAGCCACACUGGGACUGAGCCACGGCCCAGACUACUACGGGAGGCAGCAGUGGGGAAUUUUGGACAAUGGGCGCAAGCCUGAUCCAGCAAUGCCGCGUGCAGGAUGAAGGCCUUCGGGUUGUAAACUGCUUUUGUACGGAACGAAAAGCCCUCUUCUAAUACAGGAGGGUCAUGACGGUACCGUAAGAAUAAGCACCGGCUAACUACGUG